GUGCUUGCUUCAGCAGCACAUAUACUAAAACUGGAAUAAAUGAAAGAUUAGUAUGACCCCUGUGCAAGGAUAACAUGCAAAUUCAUGAAGCGGUUUAAAUUUAA
Small nuclear RNA from Cercocebus atys (sooty mangabey), 104 nucleotides. Lineage: Eukaryota; Metazoa; Chordata; Mammalia; Primates; Cercopithecidae. The record is from Ensembl.